UGUACCCACAAACAUGAAAAAUUUAAAAAAAUUUAAAGAAAAUUUAGAAGUGAAGAAGAAACCCAAAGUAAAGAAGAUGGAUGAAAUAAUAGAACUCUAAAUCAUUUUCCACUUCCACAUUCUAUAUAAGUGCUUAAAGUUGCUGAUGGAGCUGAAAACCAAGGCUCGAGAACUACGUGAAGAAUGCAGAAGCCUCAGGAGCCGAUGUGAUCAACUGGAAGAAAGGGUAUCAGCGAUGGAAGAUGAAAUGAAUGAAAUGAAGCGAGAAGGGAAGUCUAGAGAAAAAAGAAUAAAAAGAAAU
RNAcentral lists this long non-coding RNA (301 nucleotides) under Pan troglodytes (chimpanzee). Its description in RNAcentral is "long non-coding RNA NONPTRT007491". The record is from RNAcentral. Lineage: Eukaryota; Metazoa; Chordata; Mammalia; Primates; Hominidae.